This 378-nucleotide ribosomal RNA is filed under the name uncultured eukaryote. RNAcentral describes it as "partial 18S ribosomal RNA". It matches the Rfam family "Eukaryotic small subunit ribosomal RNA", at positions 592 to 976 of the family's 1831-position model. The record is from RNAcentral.
CAAUAGCGUAUAUUAAAGUUGUUGCAGUUAAAAAGCUCGUAGUUGGAUUUCGGGACGGGCCAGUUGGUCCGCCGCAAGGUGUGUUACUGACUGGUCUGUUCUUCUUCGCAAAGACUGCGUGUGCUCUUCGUUGAGUGUGCGUAGGAUUUACGACGUUUACUUUGAAAAAAUUAGAGUGUUCAAAGCAGGCUAUCGCUUGAAUACAUGAGCAUGGAAUAAUGGAAUAGGACUUUGGUCCUAUUUUGUUGGUUUCUAGGACCGAAGUAAUGAUUAAGAGGGACAAUUGGGGGCAUCCGUAUUUCGUUGUCAGAGGUGAAAUUCUUGGAUUUACGAAAGACGAACAACUGCGAAAGCACUUGCCAAGAGUGUCUUCAUUAA